This 2896-nucleotide ribosomal RNA is filed under the name Escherichia coli. Its description in RNAcentral is "partial 23S ribosomal RNA". It matches the Rfam family "Bacterial large subunit ribosomal RNA". Lineage: Bacteria; Pseudomonadati; Pseudomonadota; Gammaproteobacteria; Enterobacterales; Enterobacteriaceae. The record is from RNAcentral.
GUUAAGCGACUAAGCGUACACGGUGGAUGCCCUGGCAGUCAGAGGCGAUGAAGGACGUGCUAAUCUGCGAUAAGCGUCGGUAAGGUGAUAUGAACCGUUAUAACCGGCGAUUUCCGAAUGGGGAAACCCAGUGUGAUUCGUCACACUAUCAUUAACUGAAUCCAUAGGUUAAUGAGGCGAACCGGGGGAACUGAAACAUCUAAGUACCCCGAGGAAAAGAAAUCAACCGAGAUUCCCCCAGUAGCGGCGAGCGAACGGGGAGGAGCCCAGAGCCUGAAUCAGUGUGUGUGUUAGUGGAAGCGUCUGGAAAGGCGCGCGAUACAGGGUGACAGCCCCGUACACAAAAAUGCACAUGCUGUGAGCUCGAUGAGUAGGGCGGGACACGUGGUAUCCUGUCUGAAUAUGGGGGGACCAUCCUCCAAGGCUAAAUACUCCUGACUGACCGAUAGUGAACCAGUACCGUGAGGGAAAGGCGAAAAGAACCCCGGCGAGGGGAGUGAAAAAGAACCUGAAACCGUGUACGUACAAGCAGUGGGAGCACAGAGCAAUCUGUGUGACUGCGUACCUUUUGUAUAAUGGGUCAGCGACUUAUAUUCUGUAGCAAGGUUAACCGAAUAGGGGAGCCGAAGGGAAACCGAGUCUUAACUGGGCGUUAAGUUGCAGGGUAUAGACCCGAAACCCGGUGAUCUAGCCAUGGGCAGGUUGAAGGUUGGGUAACACUAACUGGAGGACCGAACCGACUAAUGUUGAAAAAUUAGCGGAUGACUUGUGGCUGGGGGUGAAAGGCCAAUCAAACCGGGAGAUAGCUGGUUCUCCCCGAAAGCUAUUUAGGUAGCGCCUCGUGAAUUCAUCUCCGGGGGUAGAGCACUGUUUCGGCAAGGGGGUCAUCCCGACUUACCAACCCGAUGCAAACUGCGAAUACCGGAGAAUGUUAUCACGGGAGACACACGGCGGGUGCUAACGUCCGUCGUGAAGAGGGAAACAACCCAGACCGCCAGCUAAGGUCCCAAAGUCAUGGUUAAGUGGGAAACGAUGUGGGAAGGCCCAGACAGCCAGGAUGUUGGCUUAGAAGCAGCCAUCAUUUAAAGAAAGCGUAAUAGCUCACUGGUCGAGUCGGCCUGCGCGGAAGAUGUAACGGGGCUAAACCAUGCACCGAAGCUGCGGCAGCGACGCUUAUGCGUUGUUGGGUAGGGGAGCGUUCUGUAAGCCUGCGAAGGUGUGCUGUGAGGCAUGCUGGAGGUAUCAGAAGUGCGAAUGCUGACAUAAGUAACGAUAAAGCGGGUGAAAAGCCCGCUCGCCGGAAGACCAAGGGUUCCUGUCCAACGUUAAUCGGGGCAGGGUGAGUCGACCCCUAAGGCGAGGCCGAAAGGCGUAGUCGAUGGGAAACAGGUUAAUAUUCCUGUACUUGGUGUUACUGCGAAGGGGGGACGGAGAAGGCUAUGUUGGCCGGGCGACGGUUGUCCCGGUUUAAGCGUGUAGGCUGGUUUUCCAGGCAAAUCCGGAAAAUCAAGGCUGAGGCGUGAUGACGAGGCACUACGGUGCUGAAGCAACAAAUGCCCUGCUUCCAGGAAAAGCCUCUAAGCAUCAGGUAACAUCAAAUCGUACCCCAAACCGACACAGGUGGUCAGGUAGAGAAUACCAAGGCGCUUGAGAGAACUCGGGUGAAGGAACUAGGCAAAAUGGUGCCGUAACUUCGGGAGAAGGCACGCUGAUAUGUAGGUGAAGCGACUUGCUCGUGGAGCUGAAAUCAGUCGAAGAUACCAGCUGGCUGCAACUGUUUAUUAAAAACACAGCACUGUGCAAACACGAAAGUGGACGUAUACGGUGUGACGCCUGCCCGGUGCCGGAAGGUUAAUUGAUGGGGUCAGCGCAAGCGAAGCUCUUGAUCGAAGCCCCGGUAAACGGCGGCCGUAACUAUAACGGUCCUAAGGUAGCGAAAUUCCUUGUCGGGUAAGUUCCGACCUGCACGAAUGGCGUAAUGAUGGCCAGGCUGUCUCCACCCGAGACUCAGUGAAAUUGAACUCGCUGUGAAGAUGCAGUGUACCCGCGGCAAGACGGAAAGACCCCGUGAACCUUUACUAUAGCUUGACACUGAACAUUGAGCCUUGAUGUGUAGGAUAGGUGGGAGGCUUUGAAGUGUGGACGCCAGUCUGCAUGGAGCCGACCUUGAAAUACCACCCUUUAAUGUUUGAUGUUCUAACGUGGACCCGUAAUCCGGGUUGCGGACAGUGUCUGGUGGGUAGUUUGACUGGGGCGGUCUCCUCCUAAAGAGUAACGGAGGAGCACGAAGGUUGGCUAAUCCUGGUCGGACAUCAGGAGGUUAGUGCAAUGGCAUAAGCCAGCUUGACUGCGAGCGUGACGGCGCGAGCAGGUGCGAAAGCAGGUCAUAGUGAUCCGGUGGUUCUGAAUGGAAGGGCCAUCGCUCAACGGAUAAAAGGUACUCCGGGGAUAACAGGCUGAUACCGCCCAAGAGUUCAUAUCGACGGCGGUGUUUGGCACCUCGAUGUCGGCUCAUCACAUCCUGGGGCUGAAGUAGGUCCCAAGGGUAUGGCUGUUCGCCAUUUAAAGUGGUACGCGAGCUGGGUUUAGAACGUCGUGAGACAGUUCGGUCCCUAUCUGCCGUGGGCGCUGGAGAACUGAGGGGGGCUGCUCCUAGUACGAGAGGACCGGAGUGGACGCAUCACUGGUGUUCGGGUUGUCAUGCCAAUGGCACUGCCCGGUAGCUAAAUGCGGAAGAGAUAAGUGCUGAAAGCAUCUAAGCACGAAACUUGCCCCGAGAUGAGUUCUCCCUGACUCCUUGAGAGUCCUGAAGGAACGUUGAAGACGACGACGUUGAUAGGCCGGGUGUGUAAGCGCAGCGAUGCGUUGAGCUAACCGGUACUAAUGAACCGUGAGG